AGUAAAAGUCGUAACAAGGUUUCCGUAGGUGAGCCUGCGGAAGGAUCAUUACAGUGUUCCCUGCCCUCACGGGUAGAAACGCCCACCCUUGUAUAAUAUAUCUUGUUGCUUUGGCAGGCCGCCCUCGGGCACCGGCUCCGGCUGGAUCGUGCCUGCCAGAGGACCCCAAACUCUGAAUGUUAGUGUCGUCUGAGUACUAUAUAAUAGUUAAAACUUUCAACAACGGAUCUCUUGGUUCUGGCAUCGAUGAAGAACGCAGCGAAAUGCGAUAAGUAAUGUGAAUUGCAGAAUUCAGUGAAUCAUCGAAUCUUUGAACGCACAUUGCGCCCCGUGGUAUUCCGCGGGGCAUGCCUGUUCGAGCGUCAUUUAAACCAAUCCAGCUUGCUGGGUCUUGGGCUUCGCCUCCGGGCGGGCCUCAAAAUCAGUGGCGGCGCCUCUCGGCUCUAAGCGUAGUAAUACUCCUCGCUAUAGGGUCCCGAGCGGAUGCCUGCCAGCAACCCCCAAUUUUAUCAGGUUGACCUCGGAUCAGGUAGGGAUACCCGCUGAACUUAAGCAUAUCAAUAAGCGGAGGA
Molecule: ribosomal RNA, 572 nt
Filed under: uncultured fungus
Lineage: Eukaryota; Fungi
Description: eukaryotic LSU rRNA
Rfam family: 5.8S ribosomal RNA (bases 212-365)
Source: RNAcentral